AACGCAUAUGGCACCCGAGACCUCGGUCGAGGGUAUGUCUGCCUCAGAGUCGGCGUGAAACAUCCCUCCGGGUAAGCGUAACAGCGAACCCUUCGGGAGGGGAGCUGGCCUUCCCACGCGAUCCGGUGUCCGGAUCGGCAUUCCGUGGGUCGGCCGAAGGACAGAGACGAGGGACCGGUGGGUCAGCGACCACUGGACUACCACGAUUUGGUGGGAGGAAGGGAGCGAACGCUCCCCUGUCCGCAACAUCGUCGUGCGUCCUUGGGAGCCCCGCGAGGUCGUCCUCGCCCUGCAGGAAGAACGUUGCUUCGUUGAAAAAUCAGUUUCGACCUGAGUUCAGGCAAGAUCACCCGCUGAACUUAA
Molecule: unclassified non-coding RNA, 363 nt
Filed under: uncultured fungus
Lineage: Eukaryota; Fungi
Description: partial contains 5.8S ribosomal RNA, internal transcribed spacer 2, and large subunit ribosomal RNA
Source: RNAcentral